GAUGAACGCUGGCGGCGUGCCUAAUACAUGCAAGUCGAGCGAACAGACGAGGAGCUUGCUCCUCUGACGUUAGCGGCGGACGGGUGAGUAACACGUGGAUAACCUACCUAUAAGACUGGGAUAACUUCGGGAAACCGGAGCUAAUACCGGAUAAUAUAUUGAACCGCAUGGUUCAAUAGUGAAAGACGGUUUUGCUGUCACUUAUAGAUGGAUCCGCGCCGCAUUAGCUAGUUGGUAAGGUAACGGCUUACCAAGGCGACGAUGCGUAGCCGACCUGAGAGGGGGAUCGGCACCCCGGGAACUGACACACGGUCCAGGCCCCUCGGGGAGGCAGCAGGGGGGAAUCUUCCGCAAGGGGCGAAAGCCUGACGGAGCAACGCCGCGGGGGUGAUGAAGGUUUUCGGUUCUGAAACCUCUUUUUUUGGGGAAGAAAAAAUGGGAAAGUAACUAUGCCCGUCUGGCCGGUACCUAAUCAAAAAGCCCCGGCAAACUACGG
This 496-nucleotide ribosomal RNA is filed under the name uncultured bacterium. RNAcentral describes it as "partial 16S ribosomal RNA". It matches the Rfam family "Bacterial small subunit ribosomal RNA", at positions 28 to 506 of the family's 1533-position model. The record is from RNAcentral.